RNAcentral lists this long non-coding RNA (398 nucleotides) under Elaeis guineensis (African oil palm). RNAcentral's name for it is "long non-coding RNA (EGUI_LNC071158)". Lineage: Eukaryota; Viridiplantae; Streptophyta; Magnoliopsida; Arecales; Arecaceae. The record is from RNAcentral.
CAUCGGCCGUCGAAAGAGCUCUACAACGAGCUAGCACUCGUGAGGAGUCGAUCAGAUCGGGAGCUUCGUGUGGAUGAUCCACAGAGGCCAGACAUGCUGUGUGGCUGUAUCACGAUGAUCAGACUCUUCCGACGGUGAUCAUAUUGCGGUGAUCUACUACCCAUACAAAAAUAUUAUGUUCUGAACACAUUACAGUAAAGUGUUUACUGUUCAAAUUGAAAUUUUAAAUUUAAAUGCAUGCUUGCUAUAUAUCAUAUUUAGAUCCUAGUAUAGGAUAAAUUCUUAUUAAUUAAUUAGAUUAAUUAAUAAUUUUCAUUGUAAAAUAGUGAUUUUGAAAAAAUUUUAAAAUUACCAUUUUACCCCUGCACUGAAUUUUCCCCACACAUCAUCAUUGAACG